AUACUUGCUUCAGAAGUAUAUAUACCAAAAUUGGGACGAUACAGAGAAGAUUAACAUGACCUAACCUAAACUUAAACCUCAUCUAACCUAAAUCUGCGGAAUGAUGACGCGCAAAAUCGCGAAGCGUUCCACAUUAAA
Molecule: small nuclear RNA, 138 nt
Filed under: Melipona quadrifasciata
Lineage: Eukaryota; Metazoa; Arthropoda; Insecta; Hymenoptera; Apidae
Source: RNAcentral